Molecule: non-coding RNA, 1671 nt
Organism: Heterocephalus glaber (naked mole-rat)
Lineage: Eukaryota; Metazoa; Chordata; Mammalia; Rodentia; Bathyergidae
Source: RefSeq, a predicted model, not a curated record
GUUUCUCUUCAUUUAGGUCUAUUUUUUCUCUUCUCUUAAAAGGAAAAAAAAAAGAACUACCCCUAUCUAUCUGGGGGCCGCGGGUCGGGGCAGAGGCCAAGGCACUCUGGAGGCCUUGGCCAGCUGGCUGCUCCAGGCCGCUGUGGGAGCCCAGAGGCAGGGACCCCACGGAGGCGGGUAGCAGCCCGCUUGUUAGUGACUGGGUGGGAGUGGGACCUGAUUUAUGGGCUGCUCCCCUAGCUGGCCUGCAGCCUGGCCUCUCCCCCCUUGAAUGGCUUCCUCCCUGGGACCUGGCCUGGCGUGGUUCGGCUCUGUCCAGACAUGGGAGUGGAAUCGGGGCAGGCAGUGUGGAGACAGGGGCCUGGAUAACCCGACCAGGUGGGCUGACAAGAUGGACCAGGUGGUCCAGGAGGCUUUGGUCUGGUCCUUCACUCUUCCCGAAGACGAAGAAAGGAACAGCAGGGCAGAGGCCUCUGGACAUGCUGUUGAUCCUGCUACCGGAUCUGACCUCCUCUUGGCCUGGGGACCUGCUUCCAGGGCCACCUUCAAUACCACUCCCCUGGGAAGCUCCUCUGGACUCUCCCCAGCACAAGCCACUCCCUCCCUAGGCCUUUCCUCUGACAUCGCUAAGGUCCACGUGCCUCUCCCAACAGACUCCACCCCUCAGAUGUACCACUUGGUGGCCGGCUGGUCAUGGGUGAGUCCCUUUACCCUUUGAAGCUGUAGUUUCUUUGUUUAUAAAAAGGAAGACAUCAUCCUCGAAGUUGAGGAAGGCCUGGUUCAAGAAAAGCCAACACUGCCUGGCCUACAGAGCAAGGACUGCAGUCAGAGCUGCUCCACCGGGUCACGAAGUUCUGAGAAUUGUUAUCUUCUGCCAGUGCCUUAGCCAUGGAAAUCGAUGUGGGCAUCAGCACGAGCAGGGGCACCUCAGGAUAUCCCACUUCCCCCCCUCAGAGCCCCAGACAAGCUUCAUAGCCAGAUGCGUGUGCAGGAUUCACAUUUAUUGGUUCAAUACAGUACCUAAUACUUGCUAAACAUGCAUUUCACACUAAUUAGUCACAUUUCCACAGGUAGUCAAUUCACAGAACAGGGCCCAUCCCUUGCCAGCAGGCAGGUGUGGGAGGUAGCAGAGGGCCUGAGUAGCCUGCAGAACCCGCCAACUACCAUUUGGUCAUGCAGGGUAGAUGGAGCCAGGCUGGCAGGCAGCCCUUGGCCGGCCCUUUGGGAACAAGGGCUCAGAGACAUCCUGUUCACCCGAUUCCUCCCCAGGACUGUGAGUGGAGGUGGACCCGGGUGGGCAGCCCAGGGCAGGCUCUCGAUGCAGGUGCCAUCAGAGCCCCCAAGGGUAGUGCUGUGGGAGGCAUUGCUCCCCAUGCCUGGAGCUCAGGAGGGAGCUCUUCAAGGGGGUGGCCUGCCCCUCACUGGGCAUGUGGGAAGGACUCCCCAGACACAGCCAGACAUUACAAUGCAGCCACAAGCCCCUAUCGCAGGCCUGGGAUGGCAACACAGACAAAAACACCAACACCCCAGGGCAGGCAGGGUUUCUUUCCCGACAGAAACAUGUAAACAUCGCGGGAGCUGCAGUAUUCUUUUCCCACAGGAUUCCUCUGAGAGGAAUCAACCAGGAUGUUACUUGAGAGGUAGUUUUUUUUUUUUUUUUCAUGGAAAUUU